AUCUAAUGGGUGGUGAUCAGCACAUUGUUUACUUAAUGACAUUGAACCAGUCAUUUGUAGGACUGAACCAGUCAUUUGUAGGACCUCAUUGCAUGUUAUUUUAACUGGAGUGCCUUUCGUGUUUGGGCCACCUGCUGCCUAGGGACACAUGAGUCCUUGUGUAAGGUGGUACCAUCAGGUUAUUGUCGGAAGGAGGGAACUACAGAGUGCACACAUAUCCCGGAACCAUGCAGCCUUCAAAUGGCAAGGAGAGAGCUGGACUGUUACCUGUAUAGGCCAAAACAGUAUGGUUUUAGAUGGAAAGGUUUUAGCAAGGAACAUUGAGUACCCGCUCAGCCUGGAGUCAAAAAUUAGGUUCACAGAGCGGGAUGUGAACGUGUACAAGUUAAGGGUCUCUUCUUGGAAGGGGGUGAGAGAGUCUGGUAGCACAUCAACAGAAAGUCACAAGAAACUAAGACAAGAAAGUGAAAGUAGCACAGAGGAAGGUGGAGUGAAGCAUGAAUACAAUGAGCUGGAGCAGCAGCUGAGGGGCAGUGAAGCAAUACAGGCACAGCUCAAGGAAGAGAGGGACCACAUGCAUCAAUCCCUUCAACAGCAACAGAUGCUUUUGGAAGAAAAGUAUAAACAAAAUAGAGCUCAGUUGGAAGAACAGUUUCAAAAUGGUGCCUUAGCCCAGCAGGCAAUGCUGGAAGAAAAAGAAGCACUAGCACAAAAGUUACAUGAAGAGAUUGCAAAACUUCAGACAGAAUUGGAAGGAGAAAGAAAAGUUUUAGAGGAUCGCCUGAGGCAAGAGGAAGAAAGAAAUAAGGUUCUUCAAGAAAAGGAGAAUGAACUUCGACGAUUGGCAGAGGAGAAGGCCAGUCUGGAGGAACAGCAAAAAGCAGAACGUCAGCGACUCCAGCAGCAGCUCCAGGACAUUGAGUCUCAUCAAGAGGAGUUGAGGCAGCAGGUGGAAGAUAAAAACUCUGCCAUCCAAGUCAAAGAGGCAGAGUACCAGUUGGCAGAGGAGGAGAGGCAGAGGCUCCAGGAGGCACUGGCACAGGAACGCUUGACACGGGAAGAAGAAAAAUUCAAAAUGCAGGAAGAGUUGAUGCUCACCAAAGCUCAAGAACAGCGUGCCUUAAAAGAAACUUUGGAUGCCCUGGAGGGUGAAAAGCAGAAGCUGAUGGCAGACUUGGCCUCCUCUGCUAUGGUCUCCUCAGAGGCCAAGAAGGAGGUGGUGGAGUCAGUGUCUCACGUCUUGGAAGAUGAAUUUCAGUGUGCAAUAUGCAAUGAGCUCUUCAUUAAUGCUGUGCUACUGAGUUGCAGUCACACUUUCUGCAAAUACUGCAUAGACCGUUGGAAAAAAAACAAAAAGGAAUGUCCCAACUGCCGUCUUCCAAUAACAUCAGAGUCCAAAUCAUUAGUGGUGGACAAUUUCAUUGAGAAGAUUGUACCUACACUAUCAGAGGAAAUGAAGAAGAAAAGGACACAGAUUGUAGCUGAAAGAAAUGCUGAAAUGAAGGCUGCUGAAGAAGCUGCUGCUGCUGCUGCUGCUGCUGCAGCUGCCAGUAGAGGAAACAGAGGACGAGGAGGAAGAGGGCGGAAUAAUAGAGGAAGAGGAGGUCAGAGAGGGCAGGCAGUCUUGGUGCACACUACUAAUAUGGUCAACACAGUUCCUGCUGCACCCUCUAACUAUGUAAAUAACCAAGUACAGUACAUUCCCCAUAUGGGUAAUCAGAGAGUUGUCAGGAUUCGAGUGCCAGCACUUAAUAUCCAAACCAUGCCAAAUAAUCAGGGGAUUGUAAGAAUUCAAGUGCCUGCAAGUGAAGCCCAAACCCUGCAGAAUAUUCAGGGCAUGGUCAGGCUUCACCUUCCAGCAGCUAAUGGACAAGCACCUCCAGGAUCUUCAAGCAACCCUCUUAGACUCACCUAGGUCAUCUUCAUCAGGGCGGCGUGGACACUGGGCCAAUGGCUGUCUGGAAUACUGACGCCGCUGAUGGAGGAGCUACACUAGAGUGGACUCUGUGAUACCGUGAAGAGCCAGCUCCUUCAGGGUGUUGUCCAGAUACCCAGGAUCAGGGUAGCCAUGGCCUCUUGUGUUGUUCCACUCAGUCUUGUGGUGGAUUUCAUUCCAGGUGACACAAUUAUCCAUACCUGUGGUGACUGAGGGACCCACAGUGAAGAUUAGUCGCCGGCGCCAUGCCUCACGUAGAAGUCUCACUACCUGUGCCGCACAUACCAAGAAUUAGAACGAUCACAUUCUUGAAAUCAAAUCACCCAGUGCUCUAAUACAAAAUACAAAGGUCUUAUAAUGAAAAGUUUAGAUAAAUAUGCACCAGUUGCUUGUGGCCCAAACCUUACAGAUCCACAACAGGCAACAUCUGCCAUUACAUUUUCUAUGGAGGUGGUGUUGGGUACAUGCCUAUGACAGGGCUUCUAUACCAUAUCCUCCUAGAAGCUAGGCUACAACUGCAAGUGCUUGUGGAUGAGAGAGAGAGAGAGAGAGAGAGAGAGAGAGAGAGAGAGAGAGAGAGAGAGAGAGAGAGAGAGAGAGAGAGAGAGAGAGAGAGAGAGAGAGAGAGAGAGAGAGACUCUGAGCUCAUGUGUGUCCAAGUCAGAUAUGUUCCCUGUGAUCUCCAUAAUGGUACAAUUUAAAAGUGAGAAAGAAAUAAGUAAAAUGACAAACUGAAUUUGAAGCUGAAUGUAAACAUAUUUAUAUUCUCCCAGUGAUUAAAAAUAGUUUUAUA
RNA transcript from Scylla paramamosain (green mud crab), 2729 nucleotides. It is a transcript of the gene named E3 ubiquitin-protein ligase RNF8-like, with no coding region annotated. The transcript has 14 exons. The record is from RefSeq and is a predicted model, not a curated record. NCBI's taxonomy places the organism in Eukaryota, Metazoa, Arthropoda, Malacostraca, Decapoda, Portunidae.